This 253-nucleotide unclassified non-coding RNA is filed under the name uncultured Oligoflexaceae bacterium. Its description in RNAcentral is "contains 16S-23S intergenic spacer region". It matches the Rfam family "Bacterial small subunit ribosomal RNA", at positions 524 to 776 of the family's 1533-position model. Lineage: Bacteria; Pseudomonadati; Bdellovibrionota; Oligoflexia; Oligoflexales; Oligoflexaceae. The record is from RNAcentral.
UACGUAGGGUGCAAGCGUUGCUCGGAAUUAUUGGGCGUAAAGCGCGCGUAGGCGGGUUUGUAAGUCGAUUGUGAAAGCCCUAGGCUUAACCUGGGAAUGGCAGUCGAAACUACAAGUCUUGAGUGCCUGAGAGGAUGGCGGAAUUCCCGGUGUAGUAGUGAAAUACGUAGAUAUCGGGAGGAACACCUGAGGCGAAGGCGGCUAUCUGGCAGUGCACUGACGCUGAGGCGCGAAAGCGUGGGGAGCAAACAGG